Molecule: ribosomal RNA, 301 nt
Filed under: uncultured bacterium
Lineage: Bacteria
Description: partial 16S ribosomal RNA
Rfam family: Bacterial small subunit ribosomal RNA
Source: RNAcentral
CAGUAGCCACGGUAAUACGAGGGGGGCAAGCGUUGUUCGGAAUUAUUGGGCGUAAAGGGCGCGUAGGCGGUUUGGCAAGUUUGGUGUGAAAUCUUCGGGCUCAACUCGAAGUCUGCAUCGAAAACUGCCGGGCUUGAGUAUGGGAGAGGUGAGUGGAAUUUCCGGUGUAGCGGUGAAAUGCGUAGAUAUCGGAAGGAACACCUGUGGCGAAAGCGGCUCACUGGACCAUAACUGACGCUGAGGCGCGAAAGCUAGGGGAGCAAACAGGAUUAGAUACCCGUGUAGUCCCUGUCUCUUAUAC